GGAUGGAAGGACAAUCUGGCUGUAUCUCCUGUCUCCCAGGGAUUGCCAGAGUUGAUUCUGUGGAUAGCAUGCCUGGGUGAGAGUCCCCUUUCCCCGACCUCUCCAAGGGCAUUCAAGUGCCUUCUGAAGCUGCAUGCUCAGCUGAAGAGGACCGCCUUCCCUGGUAGAGGAGGACUGUUCCUUAGUCCAGGGCUUGUGACCAGCUGCUUGCCCUCUAGGACCUCUAUACACCCUCAAGACAGGCUCACUGAUACUCUUUAAUUUAAAAAUAUGGAUAAAAAGUCUCAGAAAUCAGUCUUCAUUUUUUUUUAUUAAGUCAAAUACACAUAAAUCAUG
Otolemur garnettii (small-eared galago) is the source of this 336-nucleotide unclassified non-coding RNA. Its record names the gene 7SK. It matches the Rfam family "7SK RNA". From Rfam's summary of the family: 7SK was discovered as an abundant small nuclear RNA in the mid-70s but a possible function has only recently been suggested. Two independent studies have found that 7SK RNA binds the CDK9/cyclin T complex (known as elongation factor P-TEFb). The record is from Ensembl. Lineage: Eukaryota; Metazoa; Chordata; Mammalia; Primates; Galagidae.